Long non-coding RNA from Centruroides sculpturatus (bark scorpion), 394 nucleotides. RefSeq lists it as uncharacterized. Lineage: Eukaryota; Metazoa; Arthropoda; Arachnida; Scorpiones; Buthidae. The transcript has 3 exons. The record is from RefSeq and is a predicted model, not a curated record.
AGUUUCAGGAGAGAGAAAAACACGUUAUGUCUUAAGCAUUGUUGGCUACGUCCUUGGAACAGUUUUGUUACUUUCAUUAUUAUUUAUAAUUAUACUAGCAAUUAGGUUAAGAAAGCAAUCUAAAAUCUCUCAACGUUCAAAUGAAUCGCUAGAAAACUUGGAUGGCAGAUCUGUCAAUCAAGGAAGUUCACAUGAAAUAUUAUUUCAAGAACGUACUCACCAUGAAACUAAUCCUGUAUCAAUCCCUCGUGUGAAUCGAUACAGAAAACAACUGCGUAAUCCCUCUGUGCGCCCGAUCGAACAUUAUGCGGUCUAUCCGUAAUCAUAAUUUACGCUUUAAUCAUUUUUAAUUGUAAAAAGCAUUAAUAACUUGAAAAUAAAAUUACAGUAUUUA